AACGCUGGCGGCGUGCUUAACACAUGCAAGUCGAACGGAAAGGCCCUGCUUUUGUGGGGUGCUCGAGUGGCGAACGGGUGAGUAACACGUGAGUAACCUGCCCUUGACUUUGGGAUAACUUCAGGAAACUGGGGCUAAUACCGGAUAGGAGCUCCUGCUGCAUGGUGGGGGUUGGAAAGUUUCGGCGGUUGGGGAUGGACUCGCGGCUUAUCAGCUUGUUGGUGGGGUAGUGGCUUACCAAGGCUUUGACGGGUAGCCGGCCUGAGAGGGUGACCGGCCACAUUGGGACUGAGAUACGGCCCAGACUCCUACGGGAGGCAGCAGUGGGGAAUAUUGCACAAUGGGCGGAAGCCUGAUGCAGCAACGCCGCGUGCGGGAUGACGGCCUUCGGGUUGUAAACCGCUUUCGCCUGUGACGAAGCGUGAGUGACGGUAAUGGGUAAAGAAGCACCGGCUAACUACGUGCCAGCAGCCGCGGUGAUACGUAGGGUGCGAGCGUUGUCCGGAUUUAUUGGGCGUAAAGGGCUCGUAGGUGGUUGAUAGCGUCGGAAGUGUAAUCUUGGGGCUUAACCCUGAGCGUGCUUUCGAUACGGGUUGACUUGAGGAAGGUAGGGGAGAAUGGAAUUCCUGGUGGAGCGGUGGAAUGCGCAGAUAUCAGGAGGAACACCAGUGGCGAAGGCGGUUCUCUGGGCCUUUCCUGACGCUGAGGAGCGAAAGCGUGGGGAGCGAACAGGCUUAGAUACCCUGGUAGUCCACGCUGUAAACGGUGGGUACUAGGUGUGGGGUCCAUUCCACGGGUUCCGUGCCGUAGCUAACGCUUUAAGUACCCCGCCUGGGGAGUACGGCCGCAAGGCUAAAACUCAAAGGAAUUGACGGGGCCCCGCACAAGCGGCGGAGCAUGCGGAUUAAUUCGAUGCAACGCGUAGAACCUUACCUGGGUUUGACAUGGAUCGGGAGUGCUCAGAGAUGGGUGUGCCUCUUUUGGGGUCGGUUCACAGGUGGUGCAUGGCUGUCGUCAGCUCGUGUCGUGAGAUGUUGGGUUAAGUCCCGCAACGAGCGCAACCCUUGUUCACUGUUGCCAGCACGUUAUGGUGGGGACUCAGUGGAGACCGCCGGGGUCAACUCGGAGGAAGGUGGGGAUGACGUCAAGUCAUCAUGCCCCUUAUGUCCAGGGCUUCACGCAUGCUACAAUGGCUGGUACAGAGAGUGGCGAGCCUGUGAGGGUGAGCGAAUCUCGGAAAGCCGGUCUCAGUUCGGAUUGGGGUCUGCAACUCGACCUCAUGAAGUCGGAGUCGCUAGUAAUCGCAGAUCAGCAACGCUGCGGUGAAUACGUUCCCGGGGCUUGUACACACCGCCCGUCAAGUCAUGAAAGUUGGUAACACCCGAAGCCGGUGGCCUAACCGUUGUGGGGGAGCCGUCGAAGGUGGGACUGGUGAUUAGGACUAAGUC
RNAcentral lists this ribosomal RNA (1448 nucleotides) under uncultured organism. Its description in RNAcentral is "16S ribosomal RNA". It matches the Rfam family "Bacterial small subunit ribosomal RNA". The record is from RNAcentral.